GAUGAAGAACGCAGUGAAAUGCGAUACGUAAUGUGAAUUGCAGAAUUCAGUGAAUCAUCGAGUCUUUGAACGCACAUUGCGCCCCCUGGUAUUCCGGGGGGCAUGCCUGUCCGAGCGUCAUUGCUGCCCUCAAGCACGGCUUGUGUGUUGGGCCUCCGUCCUCCUCCCGGGGGACGGGCCCGAAAGGCAGCGGCGGCACCGCGUCCGGUCCUCGAGCGUAUGGGGCUUCGUCACCCGCUCUUGUAGGCCCGGCCGGCGCUUGCCGACACAUCAAUCUUUUUUCCAGGUUGACCUCGGAUCAGGUAGGGGUACCCGCUGAACUUAAGCAUAUCAAUAAGCGGAGGA
RNAcentral lists this unclassified non-coding RNA (345 nucleotides) under soil metagenome. RNAcentral's name for it is "partial contains 5.8S ribosomal RNA, internal transcribed spacer 2, and large subunit ribosomal RNA". The stretch from base 1 to 120 matches the Rfam family "5.8S ribosomal RNA", at positions 35 to 154 of the family's 154-position model. The record is from RNAcentral.